GCAGGCAGCUCUGAGGAAGAACCGAGUAUUCCUUAACGCGGUCCUUCCCUCGGCGCACUCCCGGCUUUGGCUUGGGGAGGGGGGUGGCGAGGCAGGGCUGCGAGUUCGCGCGAGGGCGCGCUCUGCGCAGGCGCGAGCGGGGUGUCGGCGGGUACCAGUCUCGGAAUCCAAGGAGGUUAGAGAAACUGCUGGGAUUGGGUCCAUCCUGAAGGCCCUUGGAAGAAGGGAGAGGAUGGAGGAGAGAUUUAAGAGCUGGAUACAAGGUCAAGAAAAAGGAAGGGAUCAUUCUUGGCACAUUCAAAGCUGCCUGGAAUGUAGCUUGCCUGGCUUUGGCAGAGUUCUCAAAAUGGCCUUGCAGUCAUAUAAACAGUGCUGAGUCCAGAGACACAAGCUCUUGUAAGAAGGAUGGAUUACAAGACAAGAGACCAGCUACAGUUUGACAAGAUACAAGAUCCACAACAAAACAGGCAACCAAUGCAGGUGCUGUCUCUGCCCGACAAAAGCCAGUGCUGUCUCGGAUAGAACACAGAACACAGACUGGGAUGUCCCCAAAAUAGAGAUAACGACCAGAAAGUACAGCAUCUUUUCAAUGCCAAGUCACCUGAAAAUAUACAUCUGCCUUGAAUAUUUGCUCUGACCACUGUAUGUGAUAGAUGUGCCAGACUUCUCUUUCCAAUGCCCUAUAAAGCUUCCUGCCUUUUCUUUGUUUGGGACUGACGGCCUCUUGCUUGCUGUCAGUCCACCUCUGCCCAGGUGAAUAAAGUCCGUACCUCUU
This 775-nucleotide long non-coding RNA is filed under the name Heterocephalus glaber (naked mole-rat). RNAcentral's name for it is "lncRNA (ENSHGLG00000041624.1)". The record is from RNAcentral. Lineage: Eukaryota; Metazoa; Chordata; Mammalia; Rodentia; Bathyergidae.